Molecule: ribosomal RNA, 497 nt
Filed under: uncultured bacterium
Lineage: Bacteria
Description: partial 16S ribosomal RNA
Rfam family: Bacterial small subunit ribosomal RNA
Source: RNAcentral
GAUGAACGCUGGCGGCGUGCCUAACACAUGCAAGUCGAGCGAACAGACGAGGAGCUUGCUCCUCUGACGUUAGCGGCGGACGGGUGUGUAACACGUGGAUAACCUACCUAUCAGUCUGGGAUCACUACGGGAAACCGGAGCUAACACCGGAUAAUCUAUUGAACCGCAUGGUUCAUUAGUGAAAGACGGCUUUGCUGGCUCUUAUAGAUGGAUCCGCGCCGCAUUAGAUAGUUGGUAAGGUAACGGCUUACCAAGGCGACGAUGCGUAGCCGACCUGAGAGGGGGGUCGGCCACACGGGAGCGUGGACGCGGACCAGAGUACUACGGUAGGGAGCAGUAGGGAAUGGUCCGCAAUGGUCGAAAGCAUGACGGAGCAACGCCGCGUGUGUGAUGGAGGUCUUCGGAUCGUAAAACUCUGUUAUUAGGUAAGAACAGAUGUGUAAUUAGCUAUGCACUUCUUGACGGUACCGAAUCAGAAAGCCACGGCUAACUACGUG